CCAAUGGUUUAUUUAAAUGGCGAUUUUUGCUUGUGCUUUGUUUAAAUGGCGACUUCUGCCAGAAUGAUUGAUUGAUGAGUUUCAUCCCGAGAAAUGGCGACUUCUGCCUAUGCUAUGAUUGAGGGCAACUCCUGCCAAUGGUUUGUUUAAAUGGCGACUUCUGCCAGAAUGGUUGAUUGAUGGGUUUUAUCCUAAGAGAUGGCAACUUCUGCCAGGUUUUCUGAUCGGUGGGCUUUAUCUCCAAGGAAUGAUUACUUAACCAUCAACUG
This 269-nucleotide long non-coding RNA is filed under the name Medicago truncatula (barrel medic). RNAcentral describes it as "long non-coding RNA (MTRU_LNC007172)". The record is from RNAcentral. Lineage: Eukaryota; Viridiplantae; Streptophyta; Magnoliopsida; Fabales; Fabaceae.